RNAcentral lists this long non-coding RNA (251 nucleotides) under Musa acuminata (dwarf banana). RNAcentral's name for it is "long non-coding RNA (MACU_LNC009161)". The record is from RNAcentral. Lineage: Eukaryota; Viridiplantae; Streptophyta; Magnoliopsida; Zingiberales; Musaceae.
GAAAGAGAUGGCUGCCAUAAGCGUGUAUGGUUGUCGCGCUUUAACUUCUCCCCGGAUCUCCGGCUUCAAGCCCUCAAUGAAGGUCCCCAAUAGCUGUUUUUCAGACUAAUCACGAGUUUGAUUAGAUAACCUUUCAAACCUGGUUUGGUACUCCUGAAUGGUGGAGGUUUGUCGGAUCUUUGCUAGUUGUCCGUCAAUGUUCUCGUAAUCGGUUGGUCCGAAGCGGAUCAGCAGUCCUUCUUUAAAUUGUC